UAACAAGUUUGGAAAAGAAUUCCAUUGUAAUGCUUAUUCCCCCAAACUAACGGAAUAACUUUUCUAAUUUUGAGUCAGUGGAAUUAUAAUUCCAUUCCACUGCUUAUCAUCAUCUCUCUCCAUCUGGGUCUUCGUCUUCUUCUCCAACUCGCUCCUUUGUCACCGACUGAGUUCCUCAGCAAGCAACACACCCAGUCGAAGGUAGCUGCUCGUCCCAGUCGGAGGUCCGUGUCAGAGACACUCUUCUCUUCUUCCUCCUGCUUUUCUAAUCUGUUGCAGAG
Molecule: long non-coding RNA, 281 nt
Organism: Humulus lupulus (European hop)
Lineage: Eukaryota; Viridiplantae; Streptophyta; Magnoliopsida; Rosales; Cannabaceae
Exons: 2
Source: RefSeq, a predicted model, not a curated record